This 409-nucleotide ribosomal RNA is filed under the name Digonogastra sp. RNAcentral's name for it is "partial 16S ribosomal RNA". Lineage: Eukaryota; Metazoa; Arthropoda; Insecta; Hymenoptera; Braconidae. The record is from RNAcentral.
GUCUUUAAGAAAUUAAUUUAAAGUCAAAUCUGCCCAAUGAAUUAAAUUUAAAUGGCUGCAGAAUUUUUACUGUACAAAGGUAGCAUAAUAAUUUGUUUUUUAAUUAAAAACUAGAAUGAAAGAUUUAAUGAAAUAUAAACUAUUUCAAUUAUUUUUUUUUAAUUUUUUAUUUAAGUAAAAAAACUUAAAUAAAUUUUGAAGACAAUAAGACCCUAUAGAAUUUUAUUUAAUAAAUUCUAAAUUAAAAUUUAUUAAAUUUUAUUGGGGUAAUAAAAAAAUUAAAAUAAUUUUUUUUUAAAAUUACAUUAUAAAUGUACAAAUUAUCUUAAUUUUUAAAUUAAAAAAAUUAAUUACCUUAGGGAUAACAGCAUAAUUUUUUUUAAAAGAUCUUAUUAAUAAAAAAGAUUAU